Long non-coding RNA from Myotis myotis, 1103 nucleotides. RefSeq lists it as uncharacterized. The transcript has 3 exons. Lineage: Eukaryota; Metazoa; Chordata; Mammalia; Chiroptera; Vespertilionidae. The record is from RefSeq and is a predicted model, not a curated record.
GCAGGCCGGAAGCUUGGGGCGGGGCUAACGUCCUCUGGUUGAGGGAGCGACAGGACUGAGGCCCCAGGAUGCAGGCUCUGAUGUUCUCUCUCUCGGUGCUUUGGACUCUCCCAUGCUCCUCAGGCCCAGGACCUGGUCUCCUUGCAGAUCUCAGCAGCCCUGUGCCUCCCUUGGGUCCUCUUGUUUACUGCCUGCUGGAAUGUGUUUCAGAAUUUAUUAAGUCUUAUGGCCGCCGUGGAGAGCAUCCGCUUGCAGGCUGUGCAUUGUUCAUAGUAUUGCAGUUACCCAAGCAUCUCAAAUGUCUUCACAUGCAGAGGAAUACAUGUUACAUUCAUUUAAAAGGAGAAGAAAGGUACACCUUUCUGUCUUUAAAACAUGAACCUCUAGGACCCUUCUUGGAACUCCUUGGAGCUUGAGAACUUCAGGUCGAAGAAGCAGGAAUUAAUUAUUUGGCAUUUUACCUGUACCAUAACUAUUUCCCAGAAAAUAUGCUCUGGAGUCUAUUUAUUACGGCUACACAUUCCCUCUUCACCUGUUCUCCACACCAUCAAAGAUAAGAUCAACUUUAAGAUCAUCCAGAUCUGACGUAGCACCUGGGGGAAGGGGAAGACUCUGAGCUCAGAGCAGAGGCAGACCACACCGGGCUUCCAGAAAUGGCACGUCUCCAAGAGGAAUGUGGGGCGUCCACAGAACGCCGGACAAACCAGUCAGUCCGGUUUGGAGUAAGCCAGUGCUUGCCUUUGUAUCCUGUGUCCCACAGUGUGUGUGUGGUUGUAAAUAACUGAAAACCCAACUGAUUUAAAGAACAGACAGUGUUCCCGCAGCGGAACAAAAAGUCUUUAAGUCGGUGGCUCCUGGUACUGGCUAAGCUGCCCACCAGUGUCACCGGGGACCAGACCCCUCCUUUCCCUCUUGUGAUCCUCAGUGUGGGAAUGUUUCAUACUUCAGCCACUACGGUGUAGACAGAGGACAAGCCGGCCACACGCUCACUGCUGGUCCUGGACUCGAGCCAUUUCAACAUUUCUCUCAGCCUGAUGAAACUCUGAUGAAACUCUACUCCCAUCUUUCUUCUUUUUUUAAAAAAAUAACAUUUUAUUGAUUUU